RNAcentral lists this ribosomal RNA (446 nucleotides) under uncultured bacterium. Its description in RNAcentral is "partial 16S ribosomal RNA". It matches the Rfam family "Bacterial small subunit ribosomal RNA", at positions 338 to 795 of the family's 1533-position model. The record is from RNAcentral.
CCUACGGGUGGCUGCAGUCGAGAAUCAUUCACAAUGGGGGAAACCCUGAUGGUGCGACGCCGCGUGGGGGAAUGAAGGUCUUCGGAUUGUAAACCCCUGUCAUGUGGGAGCAAAUUAAAAAGAUAGUACCACAAGAGGAAGAGACGGCUAACUCUGUGCCAGCAGCCGCGGUAAUACAGAGGUCUCAAGCGGUGUUCGGAAUCACUGGGCGUAAAGCGUGCGUAGGCUGUUUCGUAAGUCGUGUGUGAAAGGCGCGGGCUCAACCCGCGGACGGCACAUGAUACUGCGAGACUAGAGUAAGGGAGGGGGAACCGGAAUUCUCGGUGUAGCAGUGAAAUGCGUAGAUAUCGAGAGGAACACUCGUGGCGAAGGCGGGUUCCUGGACAUUAACUGACGCUGAGGCACGAAGGCCAGGGGAGCGAAAGGGAUUAGAUACCCGUGUAGUC